Molecule: long non-coding RNA, 1276 nt
Filed under: Apteryx rowi (Okarito brown kiwi)
Lineage: Eukaryota; Metazoa; Chordata; Aves; Apterygiformes; Apterygidae
Description: lncRNA (ENSARWG00000008393.1)
Source: RNAcentral
GGCUUCCUUCAGAGAUUUCAAGUUGCUUUGAAGUAGGAAUCGCGACCACUCUCUCAUAAUGUGUAUAGAGAAAAUGGCGUAGAAGAAUUUGUGCAAAUUACUCCAGUGCAAAUUAUUUUAAUAACAAAGUGUGAUGAAGUCCAAACAUCACAGGAAGAACAGCAAAUGAUUUUGGUGAAGUGCAUCAUUAAGAGAUGUGACUGGAAAAAUACACCAAAACCCCAAUACCCAUCUCCAUGCAAGCUCCAAAAAAGCUCUGUGCAAGUAUCAGCAUGAGAAAGAUGCACAUCACACAAUGAGCUGAAGUAAAUUGCAUGACGAAAUGGGAGAGGACUAAGGAGACAUCGUCUGUGAGUGGGGAGCACCACAUGUCCUUUGAAUUGCUGAGGAAGAAGUUUUGAAAGAUUUUCUGAACAAAGUGUAUGUUAAAUAUUUUGGGGUCCUGCAGUUGUCGUUGCGCACUUUGCUAGACACAUGAUAAUGCCUAAGUAUAUUGAGUAAAAAUAUCUAAAACCAUGGUUAAACACCAGCUUUAUAUGAAGUUGCAGAAUUAAAUGGAUAUUACCUGUGAAGACAGGGAUUUAGUGAAAUUCCUUUGGAUUUUUCACACAAGCCAAGUAUUKGAUUGCUUUUGACUUAUCUAGAGGUUUAUUUGGAUAAUGGCUGCAAAUUUGGAACCACUUUUGUACGUCAGAAGACAUCACAGACUUUCAGCGUUAUGCCCUUUGGGCUAACAUACACCCAGAGUCUUUUACAGAUUAAUGAAUCCUGUCUUACAAAGAUAGUUUAUGAAAUAUUUGUUUGUUUAUAAGAAGUCACACUAGCAAUGUCUGCUUUAGAAAAGCAUAAGAAAGGCUAAAUUUAAAAGUGAAAUGCCAAGGAAAAUUAACUUCCUGUGACAUCAGGGCAUAAUUUCAGUAAUGACAUUGUAUCCUACAAGAACUCAGAACAUUCAGUUGUGAAACAUCCAUCACUGCUAGAGAUAUUAGGUAACAAGCGAGAGGGAUUUAACCAUUUCCAUUUCUACAAAAUUUACUUCAUUUAUAUAAACUACAAAGCUGAAAGCAUCUCACUUGAGGAAGAGCUGAACAGUGAGUAAAAUACAUUGUAAAUUUUCCAACAGGGAAUCUCCUAUUUCACCUGCUUUUGUUUUCAACCAUUUUAAGGUUAGGACUAACAGCUUGUUGGGCGUCCUGUGUAUUCGAACGUGUCAGGGCUGUGCGAGUUGUCCCAGACGGAGACCCGGGGGUUACCCAAUGCAGAAGCCUCCUCUGUG